UACGGAAGGCAGCAGUGGGGAAUAUUGCACAAUGGGCGAAAGCCUGAUGCAGCUAUGCCGCGUGUAUGAAGAAGGCCUUAGGGUUGUAAAGUACUUUCAUCGGGGAGGAAAAAACAAAACUAAUAAUUUUAUUUCUUGACGUUACCCGAAAAAGAAGCACCGGCUAACUCCGUGCCAGCAGCCGCGGUAAUACGGAGGGUGCUAGCGUUAAUCAGAAUUACUGGGCGUAAAGAGCACGUAGGUGGUUUUUUUAAGUCAGAUGUGAAAUCCCUGGGCUUAACCUAGGAACUGCAUUUUGAAACUGAAAUACUAGAGUAUCGUAGAGGGAGGUGGAAUUCUAGGUGUAGCGGUGAAAUGCGUAGAUAUCUGGAGGAAUACCUGUGGCGAAAGCGGCCUCCUAAACGAAUACUGACACUGAGGUGCGAAAGCGUGGGGAGCAAACAGGGAUUAGAUACC
Molecule: ribosomal RNA, 456 nt
Filed under: uncultured bacterium
Lineage: Bacteria
Description: bacterial SSU rRNA
Rfam family: Bacterial small subunit ribosomal RNA
Source: RNAcentral